UACGUAGGGUGCGAGCGUUAAUCGGAAUUACUGGGCGUAAAGCGUGCGCAGGCGGUUUUGUAAGCCAGAUGUGAAAGCCCCGGGCUUAACCUGGGAAUGGCGUUUGGGACUGCAAGGCUUGAGUGCGGCAGAGGAGACUGGAAUUCCUGGUGUAGCAGUGAAAUGCGUAGAUAUCAGGAGGAAUACCGAUGGCGAAGGCAGGUCUCUGGGAUAACACUGACGCUCAUGCACGAAAGCGUGGGGAGCAAACAGG
This 253-nucleotide ribosomal RNA is filed under the name uncultured bacterium. Its description in RNAcentral is "partial 16S ribosomal RNA". It matches the Rfam family "Bacterial small subunit ribosomal RNA", at positions 524 to 776 of the family's 1533-position model. The record is from RNAcentral.